GAUGAAGAACGCAGCGAAAUGCGAUAAGUAAUGUGAAUUGCAGAAUUCAGUGAAUCAUCGAAUCUUUGAACGCACAUUGCGCCCGCCAGUAUUCUGGCGGGCAUGCCUGUUCGAGCGUCAUUACAACCCUCAGGCCCCCGGGCCUGGCGUUGGGGAUCGGCGGAGCCCCCCGUGGGCACACGCCGUCCCCCAAAUGCAGUGGCGGUCCCGCCGCAGCUUCCAUCGCGUAGUAGCUAACACCUCGCGACUGGAGAGCGGCGCGGCCACGCCGUAAAACACCCAACUCUUCUGAAGUUGACCUCGAAUCAGGUAGGAAUACCCGCUGAACUUAAGCAUAUCAAUAACGGAGGA
Molecule: unclassified non-coding RNA, 351 nt
Filed under: soil metagenome
Description: partial contains 5.8S ribosomal RNA, internal transcribed spacer 2, and large subunit ribosomal RNA
Rfam family: 5.8S ribosomal RNA (bases 1-120)
Source: RNAcentral